Phyllostomus discolor (pale spear-nosed bat) is the source of this 143-nucleotide small nuclear RNA. RefSeq annotates it as U4 spliceosomal RNA. The transcript has a single exon. The record is from RefSeq and is a predicted model, not a curated record. Lineage: Eukaryota; Metazoa; Chordata; Mammalia; Chiroptera; Phyllostomidae.
AGCUUUGCACAGUGGCAAUAUCGUAGCCAAUAAGGUUUAUCCAAGGCGCAAUUAUUGCUAAUUGAACACUGUAUCAUGGGAUAUAUCUAGAAAAGUGUUAUAUUAUCAAUGUCCUCUUCCUCUUCUAAAGGUAACUCAUGUUG